Molecule: ribosomal RNA, 484 nt
Filed under: uncultured bacterium
Lineage: Bacteria
Description: partial 16S ribosomal RNA
Rfam family: Bacterial small subunit ribosomal RNA
Source: RNAcentral
AUUGAACGCUGGCGGCAUGCUUUACACAUGCAAGUCGAACGGCAGCGCGGGCUUCGGCCUGGCGGCGAGUGGCGAACCGGUGAGUAAUGCAUCGGAACGUGCCCAGUAGUGGGGGAUAGCCCGGCGAAAGCCGGAUUAAUACCGCAUACGACCUGAGGGUGAAAGCGGGGGACCGAAAGGCCUCGCGCUAUUGGAGCGGCCGAUGUCGGAUUAGCUAGUUGGUGGGGUAAAGGCUUACCAAGGCGACGAUCCGUAGCUGGUCUGAAAGGACGACCAGCCACACUGGGACUGAGACACGGCCCAGACUCCUACGGGAGGCAGCAGUGGGGAAUUUUGGACAAUGGGGGCAACCCUGAUCCAGCCAUGCCGCGUGCGGGAAGAAGGCCUUCGGGUUGUAAACCGCUUUUGUUCGGGAAGAAAUCCUCUGGGCUAAUACCCCGGGGGGAUGACGGUACCGGAAGAAUAAGCACCGGCUAACUACGUG